AAAUACAGUUUACACAACUGGUAGCAUUGGAUCCCUUGGCACGCCAUUCGAUGAAGAACGUUGCAAACUGCGAUAAGUGAUGUGAAAUGCGAGUCCAAAACUUAUACGUGAAUCAUCGAAUCUUUGAACGCAUUGCAUCGAGCUUUGCCCAAGCACGAUAUGCCCCAUUGAGCGUCCUUAAGUCUUUAGGAAUUUUUAUUUCCAAGUCCGGGCUUCAUGGCUUCACGGUCACGCUGCCUUAGAUGCAUUACGCGUCGCACUACGGUUGCGCUCCUUGUUGUACACUUCAAGGUGCAUCCUAAUGCGUUAUCGCACUACGCUAAUCACCCUCGGUGAAAAGCAAACCCGUGUUCAGUCCUCGGACAGUUCACCCUUACUUGACUUAACCUCACGGGGGCAAGAC
This 403-nucleotide ribosomal RNA is filed under the name uncultured fungus. RNAcentral describes it as "eukaryotic LSU rRNA". The stretch from base 16 to 177 matches the Rfam family "5.8S ribosomal RNA". Lineage: Eukaryota; Fungi. The record is from RNAcentral.